AGAUGAGCCUAGGUCGGAUUAGCUAGUUGGUGAGGUAAUGGCUNACCAAGGCGACGAUCCGUAACUGGUCUGAGAGGAUGAUCAGUCACACUGGAACUNAGACACGGUCCAGACUCCUACGGGAGGCAGCAGUGGGGAAUAUUGGACAAUGGGCGAAAGCCUGAUCCAGCCAUGCCGCGUGUGUGAAGAAGGUCUUCGGAUUGUAAAGCACUUUAAGUUGGGAGGAAGGGUAGUAACCUAAUACGUUGCUACUUUGACGUUACCGACAGAAUAAGCACCGGCUAACUUCGUG
This 292-nucleotide ribosomal RNA is filed under the name uncultured bacterium. RNAcentral describes it as "partial 16S ribosomal RNA". It matches the Rfam family "Bacterial small subunit ribosomal RNA", at positions 223 to 507 of the family's 1533-position model. The record is from RNAcentral.